AGAGUUUGAUCAUGGCUCAGAGUGAACGCUGGCGGCAGGCCUAACACAUGCAAGUCGAGCGGCAGCGCGGGGGCAACCCUGGCGGCGAGCGGCGGACGGGUGAGGAAUACAUCGGAAUCUACCCAGUCGUGGGGGAUAACGUAGGGAAACUUACGCUAAUACCGCAUACGACCUGAGGGUGAAAGCGGCGGACCGCAAGGCGUCGCGCGAUUGGAUGAGCCGAUGUCCGAUUAGCUAGUUGGCGGGGUAAAAGCCCACCAAGGCGACGAUCGGUAGCUGGUCUGAGAGGAUGAUCAGCCACACUGGAACUGAGACACGGUCCAGACUCCUACGGGAGGCAGCAGUGGGGAAUAUUGGACAAUGGGCGCAAGCCUGAUCCAGCCAUGCCGCGUGUGUGAAGAAGGCCUUCGGGUUGUAAAGCACUUUUGUCCGGGAAGAAAAGCUCUGGGUUAAUACCCUGGGGUCCUGACGGUACCGGAAGAAUAAGCACCGGCUAACUUCGUGCCAGCAGCCGCGGUAAUACGAAGGGUGCAAGCGUUACUCGGAAUUACUGGGCGUAAAGCGUGCGUAGGUGGUUCGUUAAGUCUGCCGUGAAAGCCCCGGGCUCAACCUGGGAAUGGCGGUGGAUACUGGCGGACUAGAGUGCGGUAGAGGGUGGUGGAAUUCCCGGUGUAGCAGUGAAAUGCGUAGAGAUCGGGAG
Molecule: ribosomal RNA, 700 nt
Filed under: uncultured bacterium
Lineage: Bacteria
Description: bacterial SSU rRNA
Rfam family: Bacterial small subunit ribosomal RNA
Source: RNAcentral